AGUGAAAGGCAAAUAAGAAGAAUUCUUAAAAAAUAUGGUCAUAGGCGAAGAGGUGGAAAUGACGAAGAGUCUAUAACAGCUGCUAUAAGAGAGGAAUUGACUGGAAGUGGACGGUGCCUUGGUUACAGGGCUUUAGCGAAAAGACUCCUGUCAAAACAUGGCCUACGUGUUGCUAGGGACAAGGUUUACACUUUAUUAAAGUUAAUGGACCCCGAAGGGGUGAACCUUCGCAAGAAACACCAACUGUCAAGGAGAAUAUAUGUCAACAAAGGUCCAAACUAUUUAAUCCACAUAGAUGGGUAUGACAAGUUGAAGGCCUAUGGCUUUGCAAUACA
This is a long non-coding RNA of Patella vulgata (common limpet), 335 nucleotides long. RefSeq lists it as uncharacterized. Lineage: Eukaryota; Metazoa; Mollusca; Gastropoda; Patellidae. The record is from RefSeq and is a predicted model, not a curated record. The transcript has 3 exons.